AAGCACCAGAUACGAGCCUGACAGUCUGCUUUGUCCCAGAUGUGUUUCACACUGGGGUUUUCUAUGGCUGCACGGCUUCAAACGGUGCAAGAGCAGCAUCAGUCCUGAGAUUUAAGCUUUUCAGUGGAAAGCAACACUGUUGAGUUAUGGCUCAGAGGCACAGAG
This 165-nucleotide small nucleolar RNA is filed under the name Acanthochromis polyacanthus (spiny chromis). RNAcentral's name for it is "Small Cajal body specific RNA 1 (ENSAPOG00000024072.1)". It matches the Rfam family "Small Cajal body specific RNA 1". From Rfam's summary of the family: scaRNAs are a specific class of small nuclear RNAs which localise to the Cajal bodies and guide the modification of RNA polymerase II transcribed spliceosomal RNAs U1, U2, U4, U5 and U12. ACA35 belong to the H/ACA box class of guide RNAs as it has the predicted hairpin-hinge-hairpin-tail structure, conserved H/ACA-box motifs and is found associated with GAR1. The record is from Rfam by way of RNAcentral. Lineage: Eukaryota; Metazoa; Chordata; Actinopteri; Pomacentridae.